AGCCAUGCAUGUCUCAGAAUAAGCUUCUUUAUGGCAAAUCUGCGAAUGGCUCAUUAAAACAGUUAUAUUCUACCCGGAGAUGACUCUUAUACGGAUAACUGUGCUAAUUGUAGAGCUAAUACGUGCGUGAAAGCCCGACUUCUCGGAAGGGCUGUAUUUAUUAGAUACAGAACCAAUCCUGGAAACAGGACCUUGGAUGAUUCAUAAUAAACGAACGGAGCGUAUGGCUUGUGCCGGCGCUAUUCCGGUCGAGUUUCUGACCUAUCAGCUUUCGAUGGUGGGGUCUUGGCCCACCAUGGCUUUGACGGGUAACGGAGAAUUAGGGUUCGAUUCCGGAGAGGGAGCCCGAGAAACGGCUACCACAUCUAAGGAAGGCAGCAGGCGCGCAAAUUACCCAAUCCCGACUCGGGGAGGUAGUGACAAGAAAUAACGAUACGGGGUCUUAAUAGGUCUCGCAAUUGGAAUGAGUACAAUUUAAAUCCUUUAACGAGGAUCAAUUGGAGGGCAAGUCUGGUGCCAGCAGCCGCGGUAAUUCCAGCUCCAAUAGCGUAUAUUAAAGUUGUUGCAGUUAAAAAGCUCGUAGUUGGAUUUCGGAGUGGGCCAGUUGGUCCGCCGCAAGGUGUGUUACUGACUGGUUUGCUCUUCUUCGCAAAGACUGCGUGUGCUCUUGAGUGAGUGUGCGUAGAAUUUACGACGUUUACUUUGAAAAAAUUAGAGUGUUCAAAGCAGGCUAUUGCUUGAAUACAUGAGCAUGGAAUAAUGGAAUAGGACUUUGGUUCUAUUUUGUUGGUUGUUCGAGAACCGAAGUAAUGAUUGAUAGGGACAGUUGGGGGCGUCAGUAUUCUGAAGCGAGAGGUGAAAUUCUUGGACCUUCGGAAGACUAACAACUGCGAAAGCAUUCGCCUAGGAUGUUCUCUUUAAUCAAGAACGAAAGUUGGGGGAUCGAAGACGAUCA
This 955-nucleotide ribosomal RNA is filed under the name uncultured eukaryote. RNAcentral's name for it is "SSU rRNA". It matches the Rfam family "Eukaryotic small subunit ribosomal RNA", at positions 47 to 1010 of the family's 1831-position model. The record is from RNAcentral.